CCCAUUAUAACCAACAUCCAUCCCUCUCGUUCAGUCCCAUAUAACCGAACACCAUCACCAUCAUCCUACUUUCAAAUUUUGAUCCUUGCAGAGCUUUAGUCAUCUACACACUGGACCUCCCAACUUAUAACUUGGAUUGUAGAGAGAUAGAGAAAGGCGUAGGGAGAGAGGAAGUCAUGAGAGAGAGAGAGAGAGGGACAUCCACCCGCCCACCGGUGGCACCACGCUGCGGUUCGGGGUGCGGGCAGCGGUGGCGCACGGCCACAAAGAGGGCGGCGGCUAUGUUUUUUUUUCUCAGCACAUAAGGUGGCGGAAUAAAGCUGCAGCCGUUCAGCGGCGGUGAACAGUAGCAGCCACGGCAGUCCGGUGAUGUUUCUCCGUGUCAGGUGGUGAUGGCCACGACAGCCAGCGGUGGGGAUGGUCGGCCGGCGCCUGUAACCUUACGGCAGUGAUGGUGAUUUUUGAUUUGAGCUUACAAGAAAAACUAGUUUGUUUAGUUUGGUGUUUCGGGUCACGGUCAACCGGUCAGAUUUGGUGCGGGUUCGGGCUCAGUCAAAGCAGUCAACGGCUCGGGUCAAGUGGGUAGUUCGGGUCGACUCGGUCAACACCCGAGUCAAUUCAGGUCAACAUCGGUCAAACUUGGUCGACGACAGUCAACUCAAAGAUCCGGAAUACUAUAGACGCACGCUAGCUAAUUCACGUUCUUGGAAUGGUACUACGGAAUCACACUAAGCUAGUUUUGCACAGGAAUAUCCAGGUUGCAUUUUCAAAACUAUGGAACGGUUGGAAUAGGAGAACCCAUUGGAGAUUCGAGUACUUAGUGGCGUUCAUUUUCUAGAAGUCUUAGCUUAUUUGCUUCCGCUGUGCAAUGAAGAUACCGGUCCAGUCACACCAGCUCUGAUAUUUCGGGGUGUGACAGAGUUUCACCUCUAACUUGACAAUUUCAUAUCCUAAUAGCGUCGGUACUUAUCAAAAGAUAAGACCUACUAGAACAUAAUAUGGAAAUUUCCUUCAAGUUAAUGGACACUUGCAGCAUGUAUCUGUAAAAACUCGAGACCCAAUCUUCAUAAGCUACGGAAUAGUAUUUAUAUUCAACUUGUAUUAUGGAAUCUGGCCUAUAAAAGUGGUCUAAGCCUCAAAUUUUAUGUCUUGAUGGUCACUCUUAAGAAAAACUAGGGAUUCCAACCAUGUGCAUAACAGCCAUAUUACUAAUAUGUGUGUCAAACGUCAUUUUCUUGUAGUUUAACUCGUAAAUUGUCAUUGGUAAAAUAGUUUUGAAACGAAUGUAACAAGGGUCUAUAACUGUGACCCUCUAGUUAGAAAGUUGUGUU
RNAcentral lists this long non-coding RNA (1331 nucleotides) under Helianthus annuus (common sunflower). RNAcentral describes it as "hypothetical non coding rna". The record is from RNAcentral. Lineage: Eukaryota; Viridiplantae; Streptophyta; Magnoliopsida; Asterales; Asteraceae.